RNAcentral lists this ribosomal RNA (880 nucleotides) under uncultured bacterium. RNAcentral's name for it is "bacterial SSU rRNA". It matches the Rfam family "Bacterial small subunit ribosomal RNA", at positions 27 to 916 of the family's 1533-position model. The record is from RNAcentral.
GGAUGAACGCUGGCGGCGUGCCUAAUACAUGCAAGUCGAACGAGGUGCUUGAGUAGCAAUACAAGAGUAUCCUAGUGGCGAACGGGUGAGUAACGCGUGGGUGACCUACCCCAAAGUGUGGGAUAACAGUCCGAAAGGAUUGCUAAUACCGCAUGUGGUCUCCGGGUUUAGAAACCGGCGACUAAAGUAGCAAUGCGCUUUGGGAGGGACCUGCGUCCCAUCAGCUAGUUGGUGAGGUAACGGCUCACCAAGGCGACGACGGGUAGGGGACCUGAGAGGGUGACCCCCCACAAUGGAACUGAAACACGGUCCAUACACCUACGGGUGGCAGCAGUAGGGAAUAUUGCACAAUGGGCGAAAGCCUGAUGCAGCAACGCCGCGUGCGCGAUGAAGGCCUUCGGGUCGUAAAGCGCUUUUCUGAGAGAUGAGAAAGGACAGUAUCUCAGGAAUAAGUCUCGGCUAACUACGUGCCAGCAGCCGCGGUAAAACGUAGGAGGCGAGCGUUAUCCGGAUUCACUGGGCGUAAAGCGCGUGCAGGUGGCUUGGUAAGUUGGGCGUGAAAUCUCCCGGCUCAACUGGGAGAGGUCGUCCAAUACUACCAAGCUUGAGAGCAGAAGAGGAAGAUGGAAUUCCCGGUGUAGUGGUGAAAUGCGUAGAUAUCGGGAGGAACACCAGUGGCGAAGGCGGUCUUCUGGUCUGUUUCUGACACUCAGACGCGACAGCUAGGGUAGUAAACGGGAUUAGAGACCCCGGUAAUCCUAGCCGUAAACGAUGUGAACUUGGCGUUGGUGGGUUAAACUCCAUCAGUGGCGAAGCUAACGCGAUAAGUUCACCGCCUGGGGACUACGGCCGCAAGGUUAAAACUCAAAGGAAUUGACGG